Molecule: non-coding RNA, 157 nt
Filed under: Oxyrrhis marina
Lineage: Eukaryota; Dinophyceae; Oxyrrhinales; Oxyrrhinaceae
Source: RNAcentral
UCUCGGUGGAAGUGGGUGGCCAGCAGGUCGCGCGCCAUGGCAAGGUGGUGUUGGGGGAGAUGGCUGCGGCCGGGUCGACGCGCACCAGGUCUGGAACGGUGCUGGCCAAAGUCCCCACAUGGGUUGCUGUGUUGCACCGCCCGGUGUUGGAGGCUCU